RNAcentral lists this ribosomal RNA (502 nucleotides) under uncultured bacterium. Its description in RNAcentral is "partial 16S ribosomal RNA". It matches the Rfam family "Bacterial small subunit ribosomal RNA", at positions 30 to 523 of the family's 1533-position model. The record is from RNAcentral.
AUUGAACGCUGGCGGCAUGCCUUACACAUGCAAGUCGAACGGCAGCAUAGGAGCUUGCUCCUGAUGGCGAGUGGCGAACGGGUGAGUAAUAUAUCGGAACGUGCCCUAGAGUGGGGGAUAACUAGUCGAAAGAUUAGCUAAUACCGCAUACGAUCUACGGAUGAAAGUGGGGGAUCGCAAGACCUCAUGCUCCUGGAGCGGCCGAUAUCUGAUUAGCUAGUUGGUGGGGUAAAAGCCUACCAAGGCGACGAUCAGUAGCUGGUCUGAGAGGACGACGAGCCACGCUGGGACUGGGACACGGCCCAGACUCCGACGGGAGGCAGCAGUGGGGAAUUUUGGACAAUGGGGGCAACCCUGAUCCAGCAAUGCCGCGUGAGUGAAGAAGGCCUUCGGGUUGUAAAGCUCUUUUGUCAGGGAAGAAACGGUUUUGGCUAAUAUCCAAGACUAAUGACGGUACCUGAAGAAUAAGCACCGGCUAACUACGUGCCAGCCGCCGCGGUAA